GUGGGGAAUAUUGGACAAUGGGCGAAAGCCUGAUCCAGCAAUACCGCGUGUGUGAAGAAGGCCCUAGGGUUGUAAAGCACUUUUGUUAGGGAGAACGGGUUUUGUAGUUAAUACCUACAGGAUCUGAUGUUACCUAAAGAAUAAGCACCGGCUAACUCCGUGCCAGCAGCCGCGGUAAUACGGAGGGUGCAAGCGUUAAUCGGAAUUACUGGGCGUAAAGGGCGCGUAGGUGGUAACUUAAGUUGGGUGUGAAAUCCCCGGGCUCAACCUGGGAAUUGCAUCCAAAACUGGGUUGCUAGAGUGUGGUAGAGGGUAGCGGAAUUUCUGGUGUAGCGGUGAAAUGCGUAGAUAUCAGAAGGAACAUCAAUGGCGAAGGCAGCUACCUGGGCCAACACUGACGCUGAGGCGCGAAAGCGUGGGGAGCAAACAGGAUUAGAAACCCUAGUAGUCC
This 451-nucleotide ribosomal RNA is filed under the name uncultured bacterium. Its description in RNAcentral is "bacterial SSU rRNA". It matches the Rfam family "Bacterial small subunit ribosomal RNA", at positions 354 to 796 of the family's 1533-position model. The record is from RNAcentral.